GAUUAACGCUGGCGGCGUGCAUAACACAUGCAAGUCGAACGAUGAAACUUUAAUGAACCCUUCGGGGAGAAUUAAAGCGGAUUAGUGGCGAACGGGUGAGUAACGCGUGAGUAACCUGCCUUACACAAGGGGAUAGCCUUUGGAAACGAAGAAUAAUACCCUAUAAAACCAUAAAAGCACAUGCAAUUAUGGUCAAAGUGAUAGCGGUGUAAGAUGGACUUACGUCUGAUUAGCUAGUUGGUGAGAUAAAAGCCCACCAAGGCAACGAUCAGUAGCCGGCUUGAGAGAGUGUACGGCCACAUUGGGACUGAGACACGGCCCAGACUCCUACGGGAGGCAGCAGUGGGGAAUUUUGCACAAUGGGGGAAACCCUGAUGCAGCGACGCCGCGUGAUUUAGAAGGCCUUCGGGUUGUAAAAAUCUUUUGUAUAGGAAGAAAAUGACAGUACUAUACGAAUAAGGUCCGGCUAAUUACGUG
RNAcentral lists this ribosomal RNA (477 nucleotides) under uncultured bacterium. Its description in RNAcentral is "partial 16S ribosomal RNA". It matches the Rfam family "Bacterial small subunit ribosomal RNA", at positions 28 to 507 of the family's 1533-position model. The record is from RNAcentral.